Molecule: ribosomal RNA, 926 nt
Filed under: uncultured bacterium
Lineage: Bacteria
Description: bacterial SSU rRNA
Rfam family: Bacterial small subunit ribosomal RNA
Source: RNAcentral
GGGGCGUAAAGAGCUCGUAGGUGGUUCGAUUACGUNGGAUGUGAAAAUCAGGGGCUCAACCCNNGACCUGCNUCCGAUACGGUCGAGCUGGAGUUUGGUAGGGGAGACUGGAAUUCCUGGUGUAGCGGUGGAAUGCGCAGACAUCAGGAGGAACACCGAUGGCGAAGGCAGGUCUCUGGGCCAAUACUGACACUGAGGAGCGAAAGCGUGGGGAGCGAACAGGAUUAGAUACCCUGGUAGUCCACGCCGUAAACGGUGGGCGCUAGUUGUGCGAACCUUCCACGGUUUGUGCGACGCAGCUAACGCAUUAAGCGCCCCGCCUGGGGAGUACGAUCGCAAGAUUAAAACUCAAAGGAAUUGACGGGGCCCCGCACAAGCAGCGGAGCAUGCGGCUUAAUUCGACGCAACGCGAAGAACCUUACCAAGGCUUGACAUAUACAGGAAUACGGCAGAGAUGUCGUAGCCGCAAGGUCUGUAUACAGGUGGUGCAUGGUUGUCGUCAGCUCGUGUCGUGAGAUGUUGGGUUAAGUCCCGCAACGAGCGCAACCCUCGUUCUGUGUUGCCAGCAUUUAGUUGGGGACUCACAGGAGACCGCCGGGGUUAACUCGGAGGAAGGUGGGGAUGACGUCAAAUCAUCAUGCCCCUUAUGUCUUGGGCUGCACGCAUGCUACAAUGGCUGGUACAAACGGCUGCAAUACCGCAAGGUGGAGCGAAUCCGAGAAAGCCAGUCUCAGUUCGGAUUGGGGUCUGCAACUCGACCCCAUGAAGUCGGAGUUGCUAGUAAUCGUAGAUCAGCAACGCUACGGUGAAUACGUUCCCGGGGCUUGUACACACCGCCCGUCACAUCACGAAAGUCGGUAACACCCAAAGUCAGUGGCCCAACCGCAAGGAGGGAGCUGCCAAAGGUGGGAUCGGUGAUUGGGAUG